Solanum tuberosum (potato) is the source of this 4349-nucleotide long non-coding RNA. RefSeq lists it as uncharacterized. Lineage: Eukaryota; Viridiplantae; Streptophyta; Magnoliopsida; Solanales; Solanaceae. The transcript has 8 exons. The record is from RefSeq and is a predicted model, not a curated record.
UGGGACCCAAGCGAUCUUUAGUGAUCCACUGAUUAAGACGCCAUGGUUGCUGGCCAAUUCGAUAGCACUUCGCCGGAGUUCCGCCGAAGUUUACUCUCUAAACCGGUGCCCUGACGUACUUUUUUUCCUUCCGAUCAGUCGAUGGUAAUCUCCAUGCAAUUCGUCUCCGGAAACAGGUAGUGAUCACUAGUGUUUAACCAGUGAAGAAUGGGCGUAGAAAUGGAACUCGUCGAUCUCCGACGAUUUGAUGCCUGAAUCUCCUCGUUGUGUAUCUAGAGCUCCAAGGCUAUUCAUUAAAGAGAUGAUCAUGAGAAACUUCAAGUCUUAUGCCGGCGGGCGGCGAACAGCGUGUUGGCCCAUUUCAUAAGAGCUUUUCUGCCGUUGUGGUCCUAAAUCCUAAUGGUAGUGGAAAGAGUAACAUAAUUGAUGCAAUGUUGUUCGUGUUUGGGAAGCGAGCCAAACAGGUAAGAUACGAGUAGUCUAGAAGCAAUUUCAUAGAUUUGACACAUAUUAUUGUUGAAUUGUGCUAACUGUUUCAUCUAACCUUUUUUUGUUAGUGAAAACGAGCAUUAGCUGCACUACUAAAAUCCGGUCUAUUCUAAAUGCUGAAAUUCUUAGUCCUAAAUACUAACCAUUAUAAUUGCUCGGCUGGUUGAAUUUCAAUAUGGAUGGUUAUGGAAUUUACUUGUGUACAACAGCUUAUCUCUGGCGUGAAAGUUUAGCAUUUUCAUCUUUGAUUAUAAACUGCGCAGACGUCUUAAUAAAGUUUCAGAGUUCAUCCACAAUUUAACUAAUCACCAGAAUUUGGAGAGUGCUGGCGUAUCUGUUCAUUGUAACUGCUUGAUUUCCUCUUUUCGAGAUGGUCAUUUAGAUUUGCAGUUUUACUUUUGAAUUAAGUGUUUCUUCUUUUAUUCAAGGACGGUGAGACAUACGAAACGGUUCCUGGAAGUGAUUUUGUGAUCACAUGUGUGGCAUUCCGAGAUAAUUCCUCUAAGUACUUUGUCAAUGACCAGUCAAGUAACUUUAUAGAGGUCACCAAGUAACUGAAGGGGAGAGGGGUUGACUUAGAUAAUAACCAGUUUAUAUCACUUGCUUGAUGUUAACUUCGCGAAUAUGGUUUCAUUAUGGGAUUGGAGUGGUUGGAUUUUUCAUGGUGAGGUUGAGCAAAUAUCGUUGAUGAAACCAAAAGCGCAAGUAGCCCAUGAUGAAGGCUUUCUGGAGUAUCUAGAAGAUAUUAUUGGAACCAACAAAUAUGUUGAGAAGAUUGCAGAAUCAUUUAAGCAGUAAGUUCUCAACCUUUAUGGUAAACUCUUUUAUUGUUGCCAGAGUGUUGAUACUUUUUGAACUGUCAUGUAUUCCGUCACAAUUUGUUGUGAUAGCUGAAUAUAAGACCCUUGCAACCUUGUCCUGAAUCUGUAAUCAUUGUUCAUCAAUCUAGAUUAAAACUUUUGGCAUGAAAAUGCAAUGUGAUAUAAUAUCGAAUCCUCUGGGGUUGUUUGGUAACUGGCUAGAACUAUGCAAGUAUUAGUAAUGCAUUUAUUAGUUAUGCAAAGUUUGGUCAUGCAUAAAUUAUUUCUUGGAUGUUCGUUUCUUAUAUUAAAAGUUAAUAGACAUUAUAUACUUUGUAAAUUUUUUUUUUUUUUUUUUACAAUUAUUCCCGUCCUUUAGUUUUGUAUCUUUUUUUUUUCUUUCUGCAUUUUUGUUUAGGCAAUAAUUUAGACAGGAAGCAAAUGUUUGAAUUUAGGAACAGUACUAUGUAGUCUAUAAUGAAUCACUGUUCAUUGACAAGAGUAAGUGCCUAAGCAAGUGCAUUCAAUACUUCUAAAACAUGCAUUUACUAUUUCUUAAUGCUCUUUUGUAAGCUAGAAUCCCUCAAUGAAAGAAGGUCUGGUGUUGUUUAAAUGGUCAAGUUAGCAGAGAAAGAAAGAGAUAACUUGGAGGUAUAUUUUGACCUAUGUUGUUCGGACUGUCCAAAAAUGUUGCCACACUCAUGUUGGAUCCUCCAAAAAUGCACUACUUUUGGAGGGUCCAACAAGCACCCAACAACAUUUUUAAAGAGUCCAAACAACUUAGAUUUUGACCAUUACGAGAUUUUAUUUCCUUGAAAUUACAGAAAAUUAAUCAUACUAUCUUGGUUCCUUUGUCAGGGUGUUAAGAAUGAAGUUGAAGCCUACAUGCUUAAAGAAUUAUCACUAUUAAAAUGUCGAGAGAUGGCUACAAAAUUGGCUUUUGAAGUUAAUUCAACUCAAAUUUCAGAGAUGCAAACAAACAUUUCUGGACAGGAAGAGAACCUUAAAUUACAGAGGGAGAAAAUUCGAGAAAGUAACAAAACAUUGAAGGAGCUUGAGUCAAAGCACUCAAAGCAUUUGCAGAAACAAGAGGAGUUUGAUAACAGUUUGAGGCGCUGCAAGGAUGAGUUCAAGGAAUUUGAAAGGCAAGAUGUAAAAUACCGAGAAGAUUUAAGUCACUUGAAGCACAAAAUAAAGAAGCUUAAUGAUAAACUCGAUUAGGGUUCUACAAAAAUUACUGACCUAACAAAGGACUGUGAGAAGGCGGAAACUCUGAUUCCAAAACUGGAGGAAAAUUACAGUGAUCAUUGUCUGAGUAUGAAAUAAAUGAGAAAGAACAAUCUUUUAUGUUGUAAAUUGGUUGAAUACCUUGUCAGUCAAAAGUUUACUUUCAGUUGAUGCAACUUCAAAUUUUCCCUUGUGCUCAAUUAAUAGUUUUUCCCAAGGCUCUAGCUCAGCACGAACAUCAGCAAGCUCACUUCGGAAAACCUCAGUCUCAACUAUUUUCCAACAUCAUACAAGAAUGAGACAAUGAUAUAUACUCAAGGUUAUAGAUGAUGGACAAACAUGAGCAAUUUGAUGCAACGACUAAGUGCAUUGUGCACCAAGUUUUUUGAUCCAACAUCUAACAACAACAUACCCAUUAUAAUACCAGAGUGGGGUUGAAGAGGGUAGGAUGUACACAGACCUUGCCUCUAGCUUUGUGGGGUAGAGAGGUUGUUUUCGAUAGACCCUUGGCUCAAAACAUAUUUCACUUUUGCAUCUAAAGAUAACUGAAAUUUGUUUCCUUGGGACAGAUUGACAGUUUAAAGUCCCAACACAAUGAUUUUAAAAAGAAACUGAAUGAUGUUUGUAGAUUGAAGUAACUCAAGAAAAUAAUGUCUUCUUAAGAAAAGGAAAUGAACAGGCUUACACAAAGUUCACAACAAUUAAAAGAGAAGGUAAAUUAUUGCUUUAUUUGCACAUUUUGCAAGACACUUCUGUAAUUACCUAAAGCAUGGCAAGUGGUAAAAGCUGCUUUAAGCAAGUAUUUAAUUACUUCAGGCGACAGAACUUCAGAAAAAAAAAUAUAGAGAAUGCUGGUAGUGAGCGUUUGAAAAAUCAAAAGACAAAGGUCACCAAAAUUCAAUCUGACAUUGAUAAAAAAGGCACAGAGAUCUACCGUAGUAAAGUUCAGAUAGAAACAAGACAGAAAAUGAUUAAGAAACUCACAAAAGGUAAGAAACUCACAAAAGGGAUUGAGGAAUCAAAGAAAGGAAAGUCUGGCUGUGGAGGAAGAAAAAUUGCCUUGUACCUUCAAAAAGAUCGAACUGAAAUCAUUUGUUGUCAAAGAGGACUAUAAUAACAUAUAUGAGCUCUUUCAUCAGCACUCUGCUUCUCUGAAUGAUGCUAAAAAUGAGUAUGUAACUUUGAAGAAGACUGUGGAUCAAUUGUGUUCUUCAGAGGUGGAUGCUAAUUACAACUUACAAGAUAUGAAGAAGACCUAUAAAGACUUGGAGCUCAAAGGCAAAGGAUAUAAGAAAAAGCUUGAUGAUUUGCUUAUUGCUCUUUCAAAGCAUAUUGAGCAGUAAGCUGGAUUUCUUUCAAAUGCUGACUUCUUACCAUUAUCUGGGACGCCAUAGCUUUUAUGUAUCUAUCUAUCUUAUAUACAUACACUCAUAUCCGCCGUUGAUAUUAUUGUCAAUACACAUAUUUGUUCCUCUUGAUAUAAGAUUCAAAAGGACUCGGUGGAUUCAGAAAAGCUUCAAACAACUUUGAGGGAUGGCACUCUUGGUGAGACUUAUGACCUUAAUAGAGCUUUGGAGAUGGUUGCAAACCUAGAAGCUCGACUAAAAGAGAUGAAUCCAAAUCUUGACCCGAUCUCUGAAUAUGCACCAGUCAACAUUUAUAUGCAGUAAAAACUUAUAGGAUUACAGUUUCUCUUGAUAUACUAAUAGUGUCCACUGUCACCAGGUAUCGGAACAAAGUAUCUGUGUAAAAUGAGAGAGUCCAAGAACUUGAUUUUGUUACCCAAGAGCAUGAUGAUAUAAAAUAACAUUAUGAUGAGUGGAGAAAGAGAAG